UUUCAUCUAAUUACUGCAAAUUUUAUUUUUGACUGUGCCACGAGUAUCGGUGAGCUUUUUAUUUUUAUUCUGCUUUUCCCGAGACAUGCCCGAACGUUUGAAAAAGUGUUAAAAACCAAAACGAUUCGCGUAGAUCGUGUCGUAAUUGAUCUCGCACGUUGAGAAGUAGAUUGCUUUAUCAUCGCAUAAACACCGUGAGCGUUCUCGUGGUCGCGAGCGUACCUUGAUUCUAAACAUCGUUCUGUGUUCCGUAGUCCAUGAAGUGGUCAUAGACGUUGUGAUAACUCAUAUAGCUGCCGUGAUUCCACGCGUGAUCGGGCCUUAGGUUGAAUAUUAGCUCGUUGAGGUUAUGUGUAACAUUUAAAUAAGUUCAUGACAUAUGCCGAAAGUCUCUUUUGCGUUUUAUACCAAAAAGGUUUGUCUGACGAUCUGAAAGUUGCAAUAAUAGUCAGAGGUGUUACUGAUACUCGAAUGGGAAACUUAAAAUAACGGACUUAUUUGAAUUUUUGUUACUAUACCUAUGUCAAAUUGAAUUGCUUAAGGACUUUAUUUAUUUUAAAAUAUUUCUUUCGUAGAUACUGAAAUAGAUUACUUUGGACGUUUUGUUGAUAAUGGUCAGGAGCGGCCGAGCUCAAGAAAAAUGGAGUGGCUGGAGACAGCGUGCCUCAGAAUUGUUUACAGACAAUCAGCGGCGUCAAUACGACUACACCAA
This is a long non-coding RNA of Trichoplusia ni (cabbage looper), 712 nucleotides long. RefSeq lists it as uncharacterized. The record is from RefSeq and is a predicted model, not a curated record. NCBI's taxonomy places the organism in Eukaryota, Metazoa, Arthropoda, Insecta, Lepidoptera, Noctuidae. The transcript is spliced from 2 exons.